AAAGUGAAGCGCCCUUUCGAAAACACGCAUAUUCACAAUGCAAAGUUUCGUAUGAUGUGGCUUUAGGCGGAAUACAUUCGGCUCAAAGUAAAUAGAGUUACAAAGGUGAAAUUGUAGAAAUAUAGAACUUCAGUUUUUGGAAACGGAUUGCUUACUUUUGCCAACGGAACUCUACACAUUUUUGGUUGUAAUUAUGAAUGGCCACCAUUAAACUUCUUUGUUCAGAA
This is a long non-coding RNA of Bactrocera neohumeralis, 227 nucleotides long. RefSeq lists it as uncharacterized. The transcript is spliced from 2 exons. The record is from RefSeq and is a predicted model, not a curated record. Lineage: Eukaryota; Metazoa; Arthropoda; Insecta; Diptera; Tephritidae.